RNAcentral lists this ribosomal RNA (310 nucleotides) under Clostridioides difficile. RNAcentral's name for it is "bacterial LSU rRNA". It matches the Rfam family "Bacterial large subunit ribosomal RNA", at positions 1116 to 1433 of the family's 2925-position model. The record is from RNAcentral. Lineage: Bacteria; Bacillati; Bacillota; Clostridia; Peptostreptococcales; Peptostreptococcaceae.
CCACUCAUUCAAAGAGUGCGUAAUAGCUCACUGGUCGAGUGAUCCUGCGCCGAAGAUUUCCGGGGCUAAAACUUACUACCGAAGCUACGGCCUCAGUAAUGAUGGGUAGGGGAGCUUCCCAUACGGGUUGAAGCAUGACCGUAAGGACAUGUGGACAGUAUGGGAGUGAGAAUGUUGGCAUGAGUAGCGAGAUGUGGGUGAGAAUCCCACAGGCCGUAAACCCAAGGUUUCCAGGGGAAGGUUCGUCCGCCCUGGGUUAGUCGGGACCUAAGCUGAGGCCGAAAGGCGUAGGUGAUGGACAACAGGUUGA